This is a long non-coding RNA of Sinocyclocheilus rhinocerous, 1056 nucleotides long. RefSeq lists it as uncharacterized. The record is from RefSeq and is a predicted model, not a curated record. The transcript has 3 exons. Lineage: Eukaryota; Metazoa; Chordata; Actinopteri; Cypriniformes; Cyprinidae.
CACUGAUGUAAUGGAUUAAGUUUUAGAAGCUCUUUGUUGAUUUUGGGCCUCAGAAAUGCCAGCAAAACCUCAAAAAACUGAGUUAAAUACAACCAUUUUGGUUUACACAUUGUAUAUAUCAGUGUCUAUACAAACAAAAGGAAAUAUACAAUGUGGCCUGCAUCCGGAUGAGAGUGAAGAAUAUGUGAAAAAGCUCAUUGAAGACGUUACCUUGAAAAGGAGGACAAAACCUCUGGCCGAUGGUGUGUGUCAAAUGCAGCGGAAGUCAUCCUGAAAGGACGAAUGGAGAUUACAGAGGACAAACAGCUUAUUUUCCAACACAAUGCUGUAGAUAAUGUAUUAAAUUAAUGACCCGGCAUACGAAGAAUAGAGAUAAAUGUAACAUACAAGCGUGCUAUGAAUAACUAUGAAACUGUCAUGCGGAAGCACUUCCAUUUAAACGUUUCUCCAAGAAAGACUUAAUCAAAAAUGUCAGCUCGGCAAGAAGCAGCUGACUUCCUCCCGCCCCAUCUUUUGUAGUCCUUCCUUAGAGAGUCCAUCCACUGAAUCACAGCCCGCUCUAGAAUCCUGUGACCUUGAGCAAAUUGCCCAGCUUUCCUUUUGUCUCCCUCAGUUAUUUGUCCUUUCUUUCCAUUUUUGUUUUCUUAUCGCAUUUUAUCAUAGCUGUUAGCCAUGAACUGGUGGAUAUUCUGCAAUGAAAUCUGUGCAACUCAGAUGGCUUUUUAUAAUACGGUGAUGGAUCAUGUUGAGGGCUUGAUGAAUCGUGCCAUCGUUACAGUAAUGAAAUGUUUUCCUGCGACAGCCAUGAUUUUCACAGAGCAAAUUGAUACAAUAGAAAUGAGCAAAGUAACGCUGUAAUUGACUUGGUUUGAAGCUCAGGAAGAAUAAUCUUUUUUUUUUCUUUUUUUCGUAUCUAUAUCUAUUGGCAGAGUUUGGGUGAUUGCAUUUUUAUGAAACAGAUUUCCGGCUCUGUAAUCUGACUAGAUAUGCCACAUUCAAAGCUGAUGUAAAAUAGCGGAGAUGCACAGACUGCAUAUCAGUAAAAUUCUGUAUUAU